UUUAAUUUAAGGUCUGACCUGCCCACUGAUAUUAAUUAAAUGGCCGCAGUAUUUUAACUGUGCAAAGGUAGCAUAAUCAUUAGUCUUUUAAUUGAAGGCUUGUAUGAAUGGUUGGACGAAAUAUAGACUGUCUCACAGAUAAUUUUUAUAAUUUUAUUUUUUAGUCAAAAAGCUAAAAUUUAUUUGAAAGACGAGAAGACCCUAUAGAUCUUUAUAAUUGAUUUAUUUAUUAAUAUUUAGAUGUAUUAAUUAAUAAUUAAGUUAAUUAUUUUAUUGGGGUGAUAUUAAAAUUUAAUGAACUUUUGAUUAAUUUAUUUAGAACAUUUAUUUAUGAAUAAUUGAUCCAUUAAUAGUGAUUAUAAAAUUAAGUUACCUUAGGGAUAACAGCGUAAUCUUCUUGGAGAGUUCAAAUCGAUAAGAAGGGUUGCGACCUCGAUGUUGGACUAAAAUAAAUUCUAGGUGCAGUAGUUUAGAAUAUUAAGUCUGUUCGACUUUUAAUUUUUUACAUGAUCU
RNAcentral lists this ribosomal RNA (513 nucleotides) under Heteromphrale cyanops. RNAcentral describes it as "partial 16S ribosomal RNA". It matches the Rfam family "Bacterial large subunit ribosomal RNA", at positions 1839 to 2606 of the family's 2925-position model. Lineage: Eukaryota; Metazoa; Arthropoda; Insecta; Diptera; Scenopinidae. The record is from RNAcentral.